RNAcentral lists this small RNA (338 nucleotides) under Arabidopsis thaliana (thale cress). Its description in RNAcentral is "ATSL006580". Lineage: Eukaryota; Viridiplantae; Streptophyta; Magnoliopsida; Brassicales; Brassicaceae. The record is from RNAcentral.
UGCUGAAUUUAGGGCAUCUUCACGGUAAAAGUGAUAGAAAGUAUCUCAAAAAAAAAAAAAUUAAUCCAAUCAAUAUAUUUUCCGAAUGGUGCAGUUCAAAUAAUAACGAAAAUACAUAGAUACAUAUGUAUAUGUAAAGAUUUUGAUACUGUUACAGCACUGUUGCGGUGCGAUUUUGGAUGCGGUUUUAGUCAUCAUUUACAGCUUCAGUUCGAAGAAAAUAAAUCACUGGUUAAAUGACAACUGUCAAUAAAUGCUGAGAAUCGUUUCUCCUGUGAAAAACGUUCAUCCACUUUUUUCUCUUUCUCUCUAAUUUAUUUUCUUUUUUAUUAUUAUUU